Long non-coding RNA from Daphnia pulicaria, 361 nucleotides. RefSeq lists it as uncharacterized. The transcript is spliced from 3 exons. The record is from RefSeq and is a predicted model, not a curated record. NCBI's taxonomy places the organism in Eukaryota, Metazoa, Arthropoda, Branchiopoda, Diplostraca, Daphniidae.
CGAACACGAACAAUCCACUUUCGAACACAACCAGCACUCGUCUCGACUUUCGAACAAUUCUAUUCCGAAACGGUGUACAGAUCGAACAUAUGAAAACGAACAUACGGCCCUCGAACACACAUACUCGUUUCGAAUAAUUCUCGUCCGAAAGGAUCGAACAUACGAACACGAACGUACGGCAACGAACACAGUCCCUCGUUUCGAACACGCCUUGCUCGAAAGUCUCUGAAAAAUUUAACUCACGGUCCGUGUGACGUACGUCCACAAUCUUCCGACGCCAUGGCCGACCUGGAAUUAAUGAAUGCCCCGGAUUUGUUCCGGCUUCGAACCACUACAAAACGCCAGCACACGAACCUCGUUA